AGCAGCCGCGGUAAUUCCAGCUCCAAUAGCGUAUAUUAAAGUUGUUGCAGUUAAAAAGCUCGUAGUUGAAUUUCGGGGUUCCACCGUUGGUCGGGCAAUAGUCUGUACUGGCGUGUGGAAUUUCUACCUUCUGGGGAACCAUCAUGUUAUUUAUUUAGCGUGGUGGGAAACCAGGACCUUUACCUUGAAAAAAUUAGAGUGUUCAAAGCAGGCUUACGUCUGAAUACAUUAGCAUGGAAUAAUAAAAUAGGACGGUGGUCCUGUUUUGUUGGUUUCUGAAUCACCGUAAUGAUUAAUAGGGAUAGUUGGGGGCAUUAGUAUUCAAUUGUCAGAGGUGAAAUUCUUGGAUUUAU
This 353-nucleotide ribosomal RNA is filed under the name uncultured Gigaspora. RNAcentral's name for it is "SSU rRNA". It matches the Rfam family "Eukaryotic small subunit ribosomal RNA", at positions 569 to 929 of the family's 1831-position model. Lineage: Eukaryota; Fungi; Glomeromycota; Glomeromycetes; Diversisporales; Gigasporaceae. The record is from RNAcentral.